Gorilla gorilla gorilla (western lowland gorilla) is the source of this 416-nucleotide long non-coding RNA. RefSeq lists it as uncharacterized. The record is from RefSeq and is a predicted model, not a curated record. Lineage: Eukaryota; Metazoa; Chordata; Mammalia; Primates; Hominidae. The transcript is spliced from 2 exons.
CAUCACACAGCCAUCUUACAUAGGGCACUGUGGCUGAGCUGACACUUUAAAUGAAACUUAAAGGAUGACUAAAAUUCACCCAAAGGACAGCAAGGACAUCCCAGGCAGAAGAGAUAACAUAUAAGCACAGAUGGAGGGAGCCUCCCUGCCAAAAGAGUCUCCGCCUGGAGUUGAAAGACCCACUCUGCUCCUCACUGAUGUGCUCUCAGUCUCCUCAUCUGUGAAAUGGAGACAAUCAAAUCACACCUGUGCUGCCCACCUCAGGAUCAUUGCUGCGAGGACUGAGCAAGAUGACGCGUGUGAAAGAGGGGCAAAACUGCCAAGUCCUCCACACAUAGAAGUCAUGCUGACUCUGCAGACAUCUCGCCAUUCUAUUCUAAUUUGGGAGCUAAUUCUUUAUUAAAAUUUUAUUUUUA